RNAcentral lists this long non-coding RNA (12720 nucleotides) under Homo sapiens (human). RNAcentral's name for it is "non-protein coding lnc-ZDHHC6-8:1". The record is from RNAcentral. Lineage: Eukaryota; Metazoa; Chordata; Mammalia; Primates; Hominidae.
ACUCAGCAAACGCCCGGCUUCAAGAGGCCUCAGAGAGCCAGGGGAGCGAGCUUCCAGCCUGAAGAACAAGCUGUUGUUGCUGUUUAUCAAGGGAGAGCAGAUACAUCAGUGUCUUCUGACAGAAAAAGUGAUCGCCAUCAGGAUGGUGAUGACCACGAUGAUCCCUAGGAUGACGAGCAGGAUGCGGUUCUGGAUGAUUCUAGGAGACAGCAAAGGAGAAAAAACACACACAGAUAAGUGGAAGGCCUUCCCACAAACGCCGUCCGAGGCCAGGUUGGCUAAUCAAACGGCAGCUUUGCAGGUGGGGGUGGGGAGCGUGUGUGUGUGUGUGUGUGUGUGUGUGUGUGUGCGCGCGCGAAAGAGACAUCACGCAGCUUUCUGGUUCUACAAACGAUCCACGAGGAAACGAAAGGCUCCACAUGAUUGUCACGCUGCCCUCCGAGAAAUGCUUACUGCAAAGCUAAGGCGAAUCAAAUGGCUUUCGAGGCUCAGAAAAUCAUGUAGCCUCUUUAAGUGAUCAAGGGCCCCUUGCGAGCUUCUCUUUCUAAUUUAAAAGGCGAGACAAGCCUCAUUUUUUGCAGUGUUUCCUGUUAAAGUAAAAUACUCCAAGGAAACACAUGUCAGCAAUGUACUUACCUGCACAAAAAUACCUGGGGAAAAGUAAAACAGAGACUAAGGAAGAAAAGGAUGGGAUUAAGAAACAAGUGUCAAAUGUGCAGCUUAGGCUGUGAAACCAUCAUCUGUCAGUGUGGCUCACGCUCCGUUACGCUAGGAGGAAACGUUACAUUUGCUCCAUAGCAAAAAAGAUGGAAAUGAGAAAUAUACAAUGUACUCAAGGUGCCUGUUGUGCGUCUGUUGCUGGGCCUUUACCUCCAGGGAUUCUACCUCCCUGGGUUCUGGCUGGGCUGCACGCUGAUGGGGAACCAGCAACUUAGAAGGGGGACCAGAGUGGAGACACACGCUCCCAGAUGCCUGCAGAGAGCUUCUGAUGAGGUUGUUUCAUAAUUUGUUACCUCAUUCGGAGAAAAGAGGUCGAACAUCAGAAUGCUUUGUUGAGAGUUUCAAAGGGAACCUAGGUCAAACAGCCGUGCCCACGCUCGCUCUCACAGAGCUGCACGGAAAUAGAGACAUGAGCUGGCUGGCAGUCUAGCCAGCUAUCUGUCCAGCUUAAAACCCCACGGCAAACCCCAUCCAACCCUCCUCCAAAUACCAAGCAGCAAAAGGCCUGCUGCCCUACUCCAGUCACCAAACACUGGACAUGGGUCUUCCAUGGGGAGGAGCUGGGGAGAUGAAGCUGGGCUCCCCACGGAACAGAGACCCCACACCCCUACUUUGUAUCUUCACACACAAAAAAAUCUUUGCAGGGUAUUUUCUACUUCCUAGAUGAGUUUAUUUCCUGGAAGGAUGACAUCAGGUUGUAGUUUUAGUCAGAUUCCUCCUCACCCAUCCCCUUCUUCUCCAAACCUAAACGGUUGAAUGGAAACUGUCUUAUCAGACCAACCCACUCCCUCGUGGCCCCCUAAAAGGACGAGCUCUCUCUCCUCCUGACAGGUAACAAAAUGAUCACAUUUGCUGACACGUCUUCCGCAAAACUGCCUUAGUGCCUCUGUCCACUCUCCUCGCAGGAGAUGAAUGGUCCACUUGGUCCUCAUUUAUCACUCAAGGCUUGGCUAAGAUCUGUCUCGUUUAGUUCUUCCCUUCCCCACUAGAAAGUCUGCACUCCGACAUUAAUUCUUCUGUGAUGACAGCUAAUUCAGACUUAACAGGCCACACUUACUCAAGAGGCAGGAAGAUUCUCUGUCCCCCAAAUAAAUAAAUAAAAACAGGACUUCAUGGCUUAUGAUAGUGAGGCUAAUUAUCAACACUGAUCGGUGCUACUUGGUGGCUCUGUUUAAAACCCAAAUUGAUUUUUUCCCCCUUUUCUCUGGGAGGGACAGGAGCCUUCAGAAUGGUCCCUACACAUCCCAUUUGCCCAAGUCACUGUCAAAAUCUCUAUUUACCACAGUCACCCGCAUCAGACUUGCAAAGGAAAUCAGCAAAAUUGAAACUCAGCAGUGAAACAGAUUAAAAGCAUGAAAACUCUUUAAAAUUCUGCCUUAAGUAAUCUACAGUAGUGUGUCUCUUGUACAGCUUGGUUGACAACCAUUUUAUUUGUGGGUUGAGGGCCCCAAGGCAUCCAUGAUGCUAAUUUAGAAAGGAUUAACUGUGGGUGUUACUUGUUCAAUCUGAGGCAUGGUAAGAAAUAUGAAUACACAGGAAUCCUUAAAUCCUCAGCUCUUCCCUAACCUUCCUAAUUGGGCUUCACCCCCUCCUUGGUGCACCCACAGGGCCUGGUGGCUUCCCCUCCACCGCCCGCUCUGUUGCUUCCAAGGGCCCAACCUGUGUGGACUGGGACCAUGUGGAAUUCACCUCUACCACCCCAGCACAUGGCACAGUCGCGUUGCACACAGGUACUCAAAAGAGAACUGCCCAAAGAGUGAUCGUGAAAGAAUGCAGUCUCUGGUAACUGUAAUCUUCCAUUCAAAGGAGAAUGGAGAAGUCUGUGCAAUUAAUUUGCAGGAAAAUCUCAGGAAGUCUGCAUGGAAAAGGUUAAAGUUCAAAGUUGAAGCAAGCCCCGUCAAAGAUGAAACUUCCUACCAUCACGCCUUCUCAGCACUACUUGGUCUUCCCCCUGAAGCUAGAAGGAACUCCUUUGUGCUGGGUGGGGGCGGGGUGUCAGCAGGAAAGGGCAUUUGCUUUCAAACCAAAUGCUGGCAGACAUUUGGGAGGAAGAGUAGAAGGGGAUGGGGAAAGAGUUGGAAUAGAGAGAGCUCUAAGCAAGCUUGACUGGCUGGGCCAUCCACCCCAACCUUGGACCUCAAAGGAGUUGUGCAAAUGUGAUACCCCUCAGGACCAGAAAAGUGAACUGUCAGGGCAUCUGGGUGGAUAGGACUGAGCCAGUUUGGAAGGGGGAAAUACAGGCUGGCAUUGGUGGGCCCCAUCUGUGAGGAAGCUUAGUUGCAAUCGCAGCCAGGGGCUGCCGGCCUGUAUUGCUGUAGGCAAAGCAGAAAGGAAUGCAGAGCUCGGAGACAAUCAGAAAAACCAGCUAGGCCAAGGGGUUCCCAGCUAGUGAGAUGGCAGCGAAGGAACUUGGGGAGAAGCCCAAAGUAACUUCCUCCUAACUUUGGGCAAGGGGAGGGCUUUAUGUUGAACUAGGUCUGCAGCAAGCCGUCUUAAUCUCCCUUUUGAAAAUGCAAAGUGUGUUUACCCAGUAAAUAAUUUAAGAAAGAAUAUACACUUGAAAGAAGACAUCCAUUGAAACAGCCAGGCUAAAUUGCCUCCAGGCAAAAACUUGUGCAUUUGCAUGCUGCAUUCUAUUAAGUGAGCACACUGUGGCUUUAAAAGAAUGCAGAGCCAAAAUAAAAGGAAUGUGGGCCCGAAACAUCAAGGAUUCUCCAAGUUUACAUUAUGAAUCACAGUGCUGUUGAUACAAGAUGAAUUAACCAUUUACUUUGAGGCUGAACUCACAAAGUACUAUUGAAAGUACUGAUCCCCAUGUGGAACUCAGGGAGCGGUUAAUCUUUCCAUUGCCAGUCUCCUCCCAGCCUGGAAACGAGCUCCUGCGUGUGGCAGCCGGAAUCACAGAAGGCUGGUUCCAGUGCAGGGGACAGGCGCGGCACUGCACCUGGCACAGUUCUCUGCUCUUGCUCGAGGAGCCCAGGAAUUCCACUGGAACAGGCAUUACGAGUGUUCUCCAAUAGCCAGUUCUCCUCUACUUCCAGGCAUGGACUGCACUCUUUUUUUUUUUUUUUUUUUUUUUUUUUUUGAGACGGAGUCUCGCUCUGUCGCCCAGGCUGGAGUGCAGUGGCGCAAUCUCGGCUCACUGCAAGCUCCGCCUCCCGGGCUCACGCCAUUCUCCCGCCUCAGCCUCCCGAGUAGCUGGGACUACAGGCGCCCGCCACCACGCCCGGCUAAUUUUUUUUGUAUUUUUAGUAGAGACGGGGUUUCACCGUGGUCUCUAUCUCCUGACCUCGUGAUCCGCCCGCCUCGGCCUCCCAAAGUGCUGGGAUUACAGGCGUGAGCCACCGCGCCCGGUCUGCACUCACCUUAAUGUUAGGCUUGGUCAUGGAACUAGCUUUGGCUAAAGAAAUGAGAGCAAAAGUUCUGAGUGUCACUGCCAGCUGGAGGCAUCUAACUUCCAGUGUUUGUCUCUCUAGCGGGCUCUUCCUGCGGUUUUGAUUUGGGGAGGGAGGGGCUGUAUUGUUCCAGAGAGUACAAGUUAUAGGAUGGUGGUAACAUCUUCUGCCUGGAUCCUGCAGUCAUUAUGUAAAGGGCCACUGUCCUGGAGAUGCACCUGGACUCCCAGUGGACUUGCGUUAAGCCAUUGAGGACUGGGGGUUGUCACUGCCGAAUACCAUAAGCUCUUUUACCCUGAGUGAUAACGCUACCGUCCGCCUCUCAGACAAGACGAGGCAUCUGGCCAAGCCAAGAGAGGCUCUGGUUUCAUGUAUUUCAGAAGCUAAGGUAUGAUGAAGACUGAUAAGAUUUUUUUUUUCUUGAAGAACAGGUUUUUGCCUCUUGGUUUUCAAAAGCUGGGAACCUCUUCUGACCUCUUGGUCACAACACUUUUCACUGAAGAAUCAGGAGCUUCUUCCAGCCAAUGCUCCUGUGUAUUGAUGACUGAUGAUAUCAUGCGUGAGGCCUCACCAGGCCUAGCCAGGCAUCCGCUUCCUGUGUACAGCAGAUCUACAGUGGCUGCGUUCGUUUCCCUAUUCCAAACAGCUGAUGCUACCCCAGCUCCAGGGGUACAGCUGUGACUGAGGCUGAGAUGGUCAGUACAUUCCAUGCCCCUGGCCAUGGUAACUGGACCAGGAGCAGGCUUGUGACUUAAGUCCAUCCAACAGAGUGGAUCUCAGCAACUUUGCUUGAAAUGCGGGGUCACCUGGACAGUUUGGUGUGUGGAUGUCAGGCUGGAUCCACUGCAGGCCUUUUGAUUCAUUGAGGGAAGCCAACCUAAGAAAGAAGCUGACCCACAGUGGGCAGAGAAAUAGAACCCCAGUCCUGAAGACAGAGAACUUUAAUUUUUAACUUUUUUUUUUUUUUUUUUUGAGAUGGAGUCAUUCUCUGUCUCCAGGCUGGAGUGCAGUGGUGCGAUCUCAGCUCACUACAACCUCCCCCUCCCAGGUUCAAGUGAUUCUCGUGCCUCAGCCUCCCAAGUACUUGGGAUUACAGGCACCUGCCACCAUGUCCAGCUAAUUUUUGUAUUUUUAGUAGAGAUGGGGUUUCACCGUGUUGGCCAACCUGGUUCCAAACUUCUGACCUCAGGUGAUCUGCCCAUCUUGGCCUCCCAAAGUGCUGGGAUUACAAGUGUGAGCCACCAUGCCAGGCCGACAGUGAACAUUUUUUUUUUUUUAAAUCAAACCACCCUUUCUUUGGACUUUAACUUAUAUGAGAAAAUAAACUGACUUUAUUUUCCAAAGUCAGUUUGAAUUGGGUUUUCUGUUAUUUAUGACCAAAAAGCAUUUUUAGGUUGAGUCACCCUGAUUCCAAAACCAGGUCCUUGAUCUACGGCAUAUGUGCAUUCUUCCCUCCUCUUCCAAGAGGCAUUUCCUGGCUAUGUCCCUCUCGUAUUCUCCUAUCUCCCUACACAUCUCUCUUUCCAGUACAUUGACUACAGUCCCCAGUAAAAAGUGGACCUUCCACAGUCCGAAUUUCUUUUGUCUUUUGUAUCCCUGAUGCCUAACACACAGCUUGGCAUAAAUGUUCUCAAAACAUGCUUGCUGAGUGAAGAAAUGAGAGACUCUACCUACACGUGCUCAGGGUCACGUGGUUAUUGCUCUCCUGGUUUCUAAGGACUGCUUGUAGAUAAGCACAGCUUUAGGACUUAGCUGUUAGCCACUGUCCCAUUAAGGAUGCCAGCGGAGUCCCAACUUUUUUACAAGCCUGUGUUCAUUAGCUGGAGAGUGGCAGACACUUUACAGGUUCAGAGCAGCAUCCUGUACCUGCCUUCCUGCCUGGCCGACUGGCCCUGAAUAACGAUGCCCCACUUUUGGGGUCUGACAGAACAGUAACAAUUAGCAACCGUGAGAGCAUAGGAUAAAUUCUGAGCAGAGGAACCCGGAUCUGCUUCUCUCUAGGCACUUCCCAAAACAUGGGCCAAGGGAAAGCUCUUUAAAUUCUAUAUCCAAUUCAACGUUACUAUUCACCAGAAAGAAAUGAAAACAGGAGUAGGAGAAACAGUUAAUUGUCAUCUGCCUCAAACACUCACUUUAAUUGGAAGGGUUAUUUUCAGAGCUGGGGACAUGUUUGCCUCUGAGCUAGAGCUGUGCGGUUAUCAUGCUGCCUGAUAAUGCCCAUCUUGGGUCUUCUAUGUCCUGCAUCUCUAGGAGUAAUCCUCAGCCCCAUCGCGAGAAUUCAGGGAGGCUGAUCCCACUCUGAUUCCACAGAUGGACAUAUGGCCCAGGCAGGCCCAGCCAAUGACAGCUCUCUAGCUCUUGCACUACCAUUUGCUCAAGGAUUGGUCUGCCACUCAAGCCAGAUGGAAUUCCUCUUGGGAUUCUUCCUGGAAAAUCAAGAAAAAGAUACUGUCUUUACUGAGAUUGACUGUCAGGACAGUGAGAACCUGGAGCUGCCAAGGACCAUUCUUACUACCAUACCGGACGAGGCUGCCUGAAAGAAGCCGACACCAGAGGAAUGCAGAGCCGAGAGAUAAAGAAAAAGAGACGGAUUCCUGAAGACAUAUUUGAACCCCUGCUUCCUGCUGUGUGCCUGAAACCUGAAGAGUCACACUUCAGCUUCCCAGUUACAGGAGCCAAACAAUUCCCCAUUGACUGCAGCAAGUAUGGUUGGGGAUUCUCUCGCUUUCUUUUUUUUUUUUUUUUUUUUGAGAUGGAGUCUCGCUUUGUCGCCCAGGCUGGAGUGCAGUGGCGCAAUCUCAGCUCACUGCAACCUCCACCUCCCGGGGCCAAGUGAUUCUCCUGCCUCAGCCUCCUGAGUAGCUGAGAUUACAAGUGCUGCCACCACGCCCAGCUGAUUUUUGUAUUUUUAGUAGAGAUGAGGUUUCACCAUGUUUGCCAGGCUGUUCUUGAACUCCUGACCUCAGGUGAUCUGCCCACCUCAGCCUCCCAAAGUGCUGGGAUUACAGGCAUGAGGCACUGCACCCAGCCUCUUACUUUAAAUCAUACUGAUUGUACUGGAUUGAACAGUGUCCCUGCAAAUUCAUGAGGUUCCACCUGGAACCUCAGAAUGUGAUCUUAUUUGGAAAUAGGGUCCUUUUUAUUUUUUAUUUUUAAGAGACAGAGUCUUGGCCUAUUGCCCAGGCUGGAGGGCAGUGGUGCAAUCACAGCUCACUGCAGCCUUGAACGCUUGGACUCAAGUGAUCGUCCCACCUCAGCCUCCCAAGUAGCUGGGACUACAGGCAUGCACCACCGCACCUGGCUAAUUUUUAAAUUUUUUGUAAAGACAGGGUCUCACUAUGUUUCCCAGGCUGGUCUUGAUCUCCUGGCCUCAAGAGAUCCUCUUGCCUCGGCCUCCCAAAGUGCUGGGAUUACAGUCAUGAGCUCCAUGCUGAGCCACCACCAUGCCCAGCCUGGAAAGAAGGUCUUUGUGGAUGUGAUUCAUUAGAGAUCUUUUUUAUUUUUAUUUUUUAUUUUUUUUGAGACGGAGUUUCACUCUUGUUGCCCAGGCUGGAGUGUAAUGGUGCAAUCUUGGCUCACUGCAAUCUCCGCCUCCCAGGUUCAAGUGAUUCUCCUGCCUCAGCCUCCCAAGUAGCUGUGAUUACAGGCGUGUGCCACCACGCCCAGCUAAUUUUGUGUUUUUAGUAGAGAUGGGGUUUUACCAUGUUGGCCAGGCUAGUUUCGAACUCCUGACCUCAGGUGAUCCUCCUGCCUUGGCCUCCCCGAAGUGCUGGGAUUACAGGUGUGAGCCACCACAGCUGGACUUCAUUAAGGAUCUUGAGAGGAAAUCAUUCCAGAUUUAGGGUGGCCCUAAAUCCGAUGACUGGUGUCCUUAAGAGAGGACAAAGAGGGGCACGUGAAGAUGGAGGCAGAGACUGGAAUGAUGUUGCCACAUGCCAAGGAAUGUUGGGCCACCAGAAGCUGCAAGAGGCAAAGAAGAAUUCUUCCCUUACACUUUUGGAGAGAGCAUCGCCCUGUCAACUCCUUAACUUCAGACUUCUAGUCUUCGCAACUAUGAGAGAAUAAGUGCAUUUAAGCCAUGUUGUUACGGCAGCCCUAGCAGCCCUGGAAAAUGAAUACACUGAGUGCUCGGAUCCAGACCAGCAUAUGGAGCUGGUGAUCUUAUCUUGGGUUUCGUGAUGACUGUUUUCCACGUCUCCACCUUCUUCCCCAUGGCUGCACUGCACAUUUACUGUGGAUCUACACUAAGAUCUCCUCCAAAGGACAGGUAAAUGCGUGAUCACCUGAUCCCUCACCAAAGAGUAUGAGACAGAAAGAAUGGCAAGUGUUCUCUGGGAGCUGCCAAUGACCUGGUCCUCAGCAAAGGGAACAACCUGAAAUUCUCUCCUGUGGAAGACGUGUUGAAAGCCCAACUGAGAGACAGUGUUGGCUGAGGAGCCUAGUGAACUGGGGUCCACCUCUCCUGCUGGAGGCUCUGAAGUCGACCCUGGAGCAGCAGAGCCCCCUGAGGGUCCCACCUGCACAGCAUUGCUUUGGUUCACAGCCGCACUGACCUAACACCGCCAGCCUGAGGAAAGGAGGAUGGUCAGAGCGCCCUGCAGGGCUCACUGUGCUCCCUGGAAGGAAGCUUUGGAGCCUGGUGUUUACUAACCUGCACAGUGUGUGUCCCUGCGAAGAGGUCCCACGACAAAGUGUUCUCUCUCAUCAGAGCAGGGGAAAAGGCUGAGUUUCUAUCUCACAGAUACUGACUCACGUAGCUGAAACAAUUGCCCUCUCCAAGUCAGCUGCCAGAACGCUCAGAGAGAAAUCUGUGGGCCACCUCUUACAAAUGUAUAGGCGAUUCCACAGUUUGUGUACUAGCCUCCCCGUUACUUCUUUUGUAAAUAUUCAAUCUUAUUGUGUUGCAUAUAUUUAGGUAAAUGCUCUAAUUCCUUUUGGGACCAAGACAGGUUCAUACACAGGCACUAAAAAGGUGAGAAAACAAACAAACAAAAAAUCCUCACGUCAUCACAGAUUGGCUACUUUAAUGAUUCUGCCUUUAGUUUCCCUCCUAUCCCCAAAAAUUCUGUAUCAUAUCAUACUUGGAAUAUGAGUUUUCACAUUUACCAAAAUAAUAGGGUAUCUUAAUUUUUUUUUUUCUUGAAUCUCCUUUCAUGGCCAGCAUAGAGAGGUUUCUAGAAUGAACCCAAACUUGGGACUCGGGGCCCCUGGGCUCCUCCUGUAGCCAACUGCAGUGGAUGGUGGGUCCCCUUUGUUUGGGGGAUUUACAGCAAUUGUCUUAACGACAUGGACCUCUUUUGUGAAAGCUGCAGGCGUUCCCAGCAAAUGUUGGCUGCAAAUACACUAGCCGGGAUGUUGCCACGGUCACGGCCCUUCCUCGAACAAUCUAAAGCAUAUUUCUCUCUGUAUAUAUUUGUUUUUUUAGAUGCUUUAAAGCCUGGAAAACAAUCAUAGCUGAGGCCAUUUCUGAGAUGGCACUAAAAGAACCUACUCGGAGACAGAUAAAAAUAAUGAGAAUCUUUCUGUCAGGAAAGAUUUAGAAAAUAUCACUGGCAUUAUUAAAAUUUAAUUUUUUACUCCGCUUUUUGGUUCCCCUUUCCAGUGAUAAUGAGCAGGACUGCACACCUCCGCCUUGCUAGUACUUGUUUUGUGCAAUAAAUUCAGCCUUCCAGUCUGAAGACAUUUCAGACAACAGUUUUGACUGCUAUAGGCUUAUUUUUUACCCUGUGCUAUGCUUUGAGUCUUCCUAUAAAAACCAGUUCAUGAGAUAAUUUUCCACAAGGCCAGUGGAACUAAUAAAAAUCAAUUUUGCCCAACUGGUUCAGAGAAAUCUUGGGAAUAGCCAAGGCAGAACUGCAGAAAGGGGGAAAAAAAGGAUCAAUGUAUUCACUAAUGGUUUACUUGAUAGAGAACUAUCAAAUUAGCUGACAGGAGACGCUUGGCUGUAGGAAAUUUCCUUUCAGCCUAAACAGAAUGCCUUUUACAGGCCCAGGAAGAACUUUUCCCUCCCAGGGUUUGAAGAUACUCUAGUAUAGUGAUUCUUCCAAGGACUUGCCCACACCAGGGCCAACCUGGGGCCUGACAGAUGGUGGCCUCUGCUUGUCCAGAACCUCUUUUAUAUGAGAGGAGCCAGUUUUGUGAAGAGGUGGGCUGCAUUUUACUUGAAUUGCUCUUAGACCACGAGAUCAGUGGGUUGGGAAUUCAUCAGUUCACUUGGAUGCCUUAGGUUCUUGAGACCUUCUCACACCCCUUGCAGACACAUGACAGCCUUCUUUUUUUUUUUUUUUUUUGACGGAGUCUUGCUCUGGGGCCCAGGCUAGAGUGCAGUGGCUCAAUCUCGGCUCACUGCAACCUUGGCCUCUGGAGUUCAAGUGAUUCUCCUGCCUCAGCCUCCCGAGUAGCUGGGAUUACAGGUGUCUGCCACCAUGCCUGGCUAAUUUUUUUAAAAACAUUUUUUAGUAGAGACAGGGUUUCAUCGUGUUGGCCAGGCUGGUCUCGAACUCCUGACCUCAGGUGAUCUGCCCACCUUGGCCUCUCAAAGUGCUGGGACUACAGGGGGCAGCCACCGCGCGUGGCCCCGUGACAGCUUUUAGAUCCCCCAUAUUGGCUUCUUGGCAAUCCAAGUGGGAUUUCAAGGGGGCACCUCUUUUAUAAUCAGAACACAAGGCUUAACGACUGUCUAGCUUUCAUUAGUUCAAAACACUAGUUGAACUAACAGCAAGUCUUUGCACAGAAAGAAAAAGAACUGGAAGGAAACGCAGCCAAGUGUUAAUGGUGUUUAUACUCGGGUGGUGGGUGUUUUUUCUAUCUUUAUGUAUUUCUACACUUUCUUGAAUUACCGUAUCUUAUUACAUAUAUAAUAAUUAUUUAAAAUAAUGCUAAACUAAAAAUUCAGUAUAUUGAAUAAAAGAAACAUAAUAGACUAAUUUAUUCACAGUGUUAUAAGAGAGUAAGAGGGGGCUGGGCGCAGUGGCUCAUGCCUGUAAUUAAGCACUUUGGGAGGCCGAGGUGGGCGGAUCACCUGAGGUCAGGAGUUAGAGACUAGCCUGGCCAAUAUAUAGUGAAACCCUGUCUCUACUAAAAAUACAAAAAUUAGCUGGGUGCGCUGGCACAUGUCUGUAGUCUCAGCUACUUGGGAAGCUGAGGCAGAAGAAUUGCUUGAACCCAGGAGGCAGAGGCUGCAGUGAGCUGAGACUGUGCCAAUGCACUGCAGCCUGGGUGACAGAGCAAGACUGUCUCUCAGAAAAAAAAAAAAAAAAAAAGAGUAAUAGGGAAUGUGUAGGAGAAAAAAGAACAAGGGUAAAAAUUAUUUAAAAAUUUUUUUUAGUGACUUCUACUAUCCUAAGUCCUUCACUCAAAUUAUUUUAUUUAAUCCUCAUACCAAAUCUAUGGCAAAGGUGUCAAUGUUCCCAUUUUCCAGAGGAGGAGACUGAGGCUUAGAGAGUUAAGUUAGCCAAGAUCACACAGCUAGUUGGUGGAAAAGCUGGUAUUUAAAAUCGGAUCUGAUGUCAAAGACCACAUGCAAUACAACAGUGAGGAAAAUAACAAGUCACAGAAUGUCUUGCUUUCUAGCUGUAGUUCCAAACGGCUAUGAUGCCAGGUGAGUCACUUUGCAUUUAUGAUUAAAGUCAGGGACAACAACAUCUGUCCUUUUUUCCUAUCUCAUGGGUUCUUGUGAUGCUGAAAUUAGAUCACACGUGUAAAAGAAGAGAAAACGCAAUGUCCUCCUCAAAGGAAUAUGGUAAUAUGAUAAUAUUUCAUAUAAUAUCGGUGAGUUGAGGGUUGUCACGAAUGCUCUUUGGGUACUGAUAAUUUUCAAAGAAAAACUUAUACAAAAGCAGAAUUAUUAUUAAGACUAUAUUGAAUAAAUUUGUUUUUGAUGAUUCAGAAAGUUUAACAGAAUCUGACCCUAUCCUAGUCAUCAUUAGGACCACUAAUUUUCUUGCUGAUAAUAUAUUAUGUAAAAAGCAAGGGUUACAAAUAGUACGUAUAGUAUGAUCUGAAUUUUGCAAAAACUACAUAUAUAAAUGUAAAACAGAAAUCGGAAAGAUAUACAUUGAAAUGUAAAUAAUGAUUGUGUCUAGGCGUUGGGAUCAUAAUUUUAAUUUUUUAUUUAUUAUUUUAUUUUAUUAUUAUUUUUUAGAGGCAGAGUCUCACUCUGUUGCCCAGGCUGGAGUGCAACAGCGUGAUUAUAGCUCAUUGCAACCUCAACCUCCUGGGCUCAAGCAGUCCUCCCACCUCAGCCUCCUGAGUAGCUGGGACCACAGGCAUGCAUGACCACACCUGGCUAAUUUAUUUUUUGUAGCAAUGGGGUCUUACUCUACUGUCCAGGCCGGUCUCGAACUCCUGGCCUCAAGUGAUCUUCCCACCUAGCCUCCCACAGUGCUGGGAUUACAGGCAUGAGCCAAUGCGCCUGGCCAGGAUCAUGAUUUUUUAAAAAUCUCUGAUUUUUUGAAUUUUACAAUUUUUUUUUGCAUUUUGCAUUUUGAUUUGAAUUUUGCAAAUUUUGGGGUAAUAAAUAUGUACUGUUUCUAUAAUCAGAAAAUAUGAUCCAGCCCCCUCUUCCCCACAGUACAAAAACAUCACCUUUUUCCUUGAAUAAAAC